Molecule: long non-coding RNA, 276 nt
Filed under: Capsicum annuum
Lineage: Eukaryota; Viridiplantae; Streptophyta; Magnoliopsida; Solanales; Solanaceae
Description: long non-coding RNA (CANN_LNC019687)
Source: RNAcentral
UUCUGUAGGAAUAUAGCCACCAUUUUCAAUUCUGACUUUCUUAUUUUUUCAAAGACAGAAACUCUUUGAAAAGAGUUUUGUCAUAUGUGUGGUUUGUACAACCACUGUCAAUCGUCCAAAAAUCAGAUUUCUUAGUUGAAGAAUACGUUGCCACAAAUAAGUGAUCUUCUUCUUCUUCUUUGGUGACUUGGGUAUCUGCUUCAUAUUCUUGAUAUCUGUUUUUGCAAAUAACAGCUUCAUGGCCAAAUUGAUUGAAGAUCUUACAUUCUGCAUCUG